This 479-nucleotide long non-coding RNA is filed under the name Rattus norvegicus (Norway rat). Its description in RNAcentral is "long non-coding RNA NONRATT030646". The stretch from base 1 to 99 matches the Rfam family "Small nucleolar RNA SNORA44", at positions 31 to 131 of the family's 131-position model. The record is from RNAcentral. Lineage: Eukaryota; Metazoa; Chordata; Mammalia; Rodentia; Muridae.
UAGCCAUGGGAUCUCCAACUGCAUGCCAGAGUAACGGAGAGACUUUGACAGCCCAGGUUAUCACAGUGCCUGCUGUUGCCACUCAGCUCUCCUAUAUGUUUUUCCACUGGAGUUAUGAGCUGCCUGUCCUUCUGUCCUGUGGUAUUCAAAACAAACUUUCCUUCUGCAGUGUGCACUUGGGGGCGGUUCUUGGAAGAGUGAGGAGACAGCCUGUCAGCCUCUGCUCAUUAACCUAAGGACCAUGUGACCAGUGAGGUGGCCAUCUUGUGAUUUGGUCUGCAUUAUUUGUUGGAAAAAUGCCACAAGAAGAUCACACUGGGAUUUAGAAGUUUCUGGCUAAUACUUAGCCAGGUAGCCUUUUGUGGCCAGAUUGGUCUACAAAGAGAAACAGCAUUUUGGAAAAGUGAAAUAGCUUUGUAACCUAACAUGCAAUUGGUUCAAUAAAGACUUCAAAUUUCAAAAAAAAAAAAAAAAAAAAC